UCUCCGUAGGUGAACCUGCGGAGGGAUCAUUACAGAGUUCAUGCCCUACCGGGUAGAUCUCCCACCCUAUGUUAUUAUUACUUUGUUGCUUUGGCGGGCCGUUAGGCUCCGGCCCGACUACCGGCCCCGGCUGGUAAGCGCCCGCCAGAGGACCCAAAACCCUGAAUAUUAGUGUCGUCUGAGUACUAUAUAAUAGUUAAAACUUUCAACAACGGAUCUCUUGGUUCUGGCAUGAUGAAGAACGCAGC
This 248-nucleotide unclassified non-coding RNA is filed under the name plant metagenome. RNAcentral's name for it is "partial contains small subunit ribosomal RNA, internal transcribed spacer 1, and 5.8S ribosomal RNA". The record is from RNAcentral.